Molecule: unclassified non-coding RNA, 329 nt
Filed under: soil metagenome
Description: partial contains 5.8S ribosomal RNA, internal transcribed spacer 2, and large subunit ribosomal RNA
Rfam family: 5.8S ribosomal RNA (bases 1-120)
Source: RNAcentral
GAUGAAGAACGCAGCGAAAUGCGAUAAGUAAUGUGAAUUGCAGAAUUCAGUGAAUCAUCGAAUCUUUGAACGCACAUUGCGCCCCCUGGUAUUCCGGGGGGCAUGCCUGUCCGAGCGUCAUUACAACCCUCAAGCUCAGCUUGGUGUUGGGCCCCGCCGCCCCGGCGGGCCCUAAAGUCAGUGGCGGUGCCGUCCGGCUCCGAGCGUAGUAAUUCUUCUCGCUCUGGAGGUCCGGUCGUGUGCUCGCCAGCAACCCCCAAUUUUUUUCAGGUUGACCUCGGAUCAGGUAGGGAUACCCGCUGAACUUAAGCAUAUCAAUAAGCGGGGGA